RNAcentral lists this ribosomal RNA (424 nucleotides) under uncultured bacterium. RNAcentral's name for it is "bacterial SSU rRNA". It matches the Rfam family "Bacterial small subunit ribosomal RNA", at positions 355 to 796 of the family's 1533-position model. The record is from RNAcentral.
UAACGAAUCUUCCGCAAUGCACGAAAGUGUGACGGAGCGACGCCGCGUGUGGGAUGAAGUCCUUCGGGAUGUAAACCACUGUCAGGGGUUAGAAAGUUCUGAUCAACCCCAGAGGAAGGCACGGCUAACUCUGUGCCAGCAGCCGCGGUAAUACAGAGGUGCCGAGCGUUAGGCGGAAUCACUGGGCUUAAAGCGUGUGUAGGCGGACGACUAAGUGCCUUGUGAAAUCCCACGGCUUAACCGUGGAACUGCUUGGCAUACUAGUUGUCUUGAGCCACUUAGGGGCGAGCGGAACAAAUGGUGGAGCGGUGAAAUGCGUAGAUAUCAUUUGGAACGCCAACGGUGAAAACAGCUCGCUGGGAGUGUGCUGACGCUGAGACACGAAAGCCAGGGGAGCAAACGGGAUUAGAUACCCCCGUAGUCC